RNAcentral lists this small nuclear RNA (164 nucleotides) under Panthera tigris altaica (Amur tiger). RNAcentral's name for it is "U1 spliceosomal RNA (ENSPTIG00000000756.1)". It matches the Rfam family "U1 spliceosomal RNA". From Rfam's summary of the family: U1 is a small nuclear RNA (snRNA) component of the spliceosome (involved in pre-mRNA splicing). Its 5' end forms complementary base pairs with the 5' splice junction, thus defining the 5' donor site of an intron. There are significant differences in sequence and secondary structure between metazoan and yeast U1 snRNAs, the latter being much longer (568 nucleotides as compared to 164 nucleotides in human). The record is from Rfam by way of RNAcentral. Lineage: Eukaryota; Metazoa; Chordata; Mammalia; Carnivora; Felidae.
AUAUUUACCUGGCAGGGGAGAUACCAUGAUCAGGAAGGUGGUUUUCCCAGGGCGAGGCUUAUCCCUUGCACUCAGGAUGUGCUGACCCCUGAGAUUUCCUCAAAUGUGGGAAACUCGACUGCAUAAUUUGUGGUAGUGGGGGACUGCGUUUGUGCUUUCCCCUG